Molecule: ribosomal RNA, 700 nt
Filed under: Psychrobacter sp. NC201
Lineage: Bacteria; Pseudomonadati; Pseudomonadota; Gammaproteobacteria; Moraxellales; Moraxellaceae
Description: bacterial SSU rRNA
Rfam family: Bacterial small subunit ribosomal RNA
Source: RNAcentral
ACUUAGAAUCUACCUAGUAGUGGGGAUAGCUCGGGAAACUCGAAUUAAUACCGCAUACGACUACGGGAGAAAGGGGCAACUUGUUGCUCUCGCUAUUAGAUGAGCCUAAGUCGGAUUAGCUAGAUGGUGGGGUAAAGGCCUACCAUGGCGACGAUCUGUAGCUGGUCUGAGAGGAUGAUCAGCCACACCGGGACUGAGACACGGCCCGGACUCUACGGGAGGCAGCAGUGGGGAAUAUUGGACAAUGGGGGCAACCCUGAUCCAGCCAUGCCGCGUGUGUGAAGAAGGCCUUUUGGUUGUAAAGCACUUUAAGCAGUGAAGAAGACUCUAGGGUUAAUACCCWUYGACGAUGACAUUAGCUGCAGAAUAAGCACCGGCUAACUCUGUGCCAGCAGCCGCGGUAAUACAGAGGGUGCAAGCGUUAAUCGGAAUUACUGGGCGUAAAGCGAGCGUAGGUGGCUUGAUAAGUCAGAUGUGAAAGCCCCGGGCUUAACCUGGGAACGGCAUCUGAUACUGUUAGGCUAGAGUAGGUGAGAGGAAGGUAGAAUUCCAGGUGUAGCGGUGAAAUGCGUAGAGAUCUGGAGGAAUACCGAUGGCGAAGGCAGCCRUCUGGCAUCAUACUGACACUGAGGUUCGAAAGCGUGGGUAGCAAACAGGAUUAGAUACCCUGGUAGUCCACGCCGUAAACGAWGUCUACUAG